GACGAACGCUGGCGGCGUGCUUAACACAUGCAAGUCGAACGGAAGGGCCCUGCUUUUGUGGGGUGCUCGAGUGGCGAACGGGUGAGUAACACGUGAGUAACCUGCCCUUGACUUUGGGAUAACUUCAGGAAACUGGGGCUAAUACCGGAUAGGAGCUCCUGCUGCAUGGUGGGGGUUGGAAAGUUUCGGCGGUUGGGGAUGGACUCGCGGCUUAUCAGCUUGUUGGUGGGGUAGUGGCUUACCAAGGCUUUGACGGGUAGCCGGCCUGAGAGGGUGACCGGCCACAUUGCGACUGAGAUACGGCCCAGACUCCUACGGGAGGCAGCAGUGGGGAAUAUUGCACAAUGGGCGGAAGCCUGAUGCAGCAACGCCGCGUGCGGGAUGACGGCCUUCGGGUUGUAAACCGCUUUCGCCUGUGACGAAGCGUGAGUGACGGUAAUGGGUAAAGAAGCACCGGCUAACUACGUG
RNAcentral lists this ribosomal RNA (468 nucleotides) under uncultured bacterium. RNAcentral describes it as "partial 16S ribosomal RNA". It matches the Rfam family "Bacterial small subunit ribosomal RNA", at positions 28 to 507 of the family's 1533-position model. The record is from RNAcentral.